Molecule: ribosomal RNA, 836 nt
Filed under: archaeon enrichment culture clone N06_3132
Lineage: Archaea
Description: bacterial SSU rRNA
Rfam family: Archaeal small subunit ribosomal RNA
Source: RNAcentral
GGCUACUGCUAUUGGGAUUCGACUAAGCCAUGCGAGUCAAGGUGUCUUCGGACGCCGGCGUACGGCUCAGUAACACGUAGGUAACCUACCCUCAGGACUGAGAUAACCCCGGGAAACUGGGGCUAAUAUUAGAUAGAUAAAAGAUACUGGAAUGUUCUUUUAUCCAAAGCUUUUGCGCCUGAGGAUGGGCCUGCGUCCGAUUAGGUUGUUGGUGGGGUAAUGGCCCACCAAGCCUACGAUCGGUACGGGCAGUGAGAGCUGAAGCCCGGAGUUGGGGACUGAGACAAGGCCCCAGGCCCUACGGGGCGCAGCAGGCGCGAAACCUCUGCAAUGCGGGAAACCGUGACAGGGGGAUCCCAAGUGCUCAUGCAUUGCAUGGGCUGUUCUUUGGUCUAAGUAACCAGAGGAGUAAGGGCUGGGCAAGACCGGUGCCAGCCGCCGCGGUAAUACCGGCAGCUCAAGUGGUAGCCGCGAUUAUUGGGCCUAAAGCGUUCGUAGCCGGAUAAGUAAGUCUUUGGUUAAAUCCUGCGACUUAACCGUGGGAAAUCUAGAGAUACUGCUUGUCUUGAGACCGGGAGAGGUUGGAGGUACUCCCAGGGUAGGGGUGAAAUCCUGUAAUCCUGGGGGGACCACCUGUGGCGAAGGCGUCCAACUGGAACGGGUCUGACGGUGAGGGACGAAACCUAGGGGAGCGAGCCGGAUUAGAUACCCGGGUAGUCCUAGGCGUAAAUGAUGCGAGUUAAGUGUGGGGGCAUCCACGAGAUGGCCCUGUGCUGUAGGGUAGCCGUUAAACUCGCCGCCUGGGGAGUACGGUCGCAAGGCUGAAACUUAAAGGA